GUUUUAAGCAAAACGUCACCGUUC
RNAcentral lists this non-coding RNA (24 nucleotides) under Gossypium hirsutum (cotton). Lineage: Eukaryota; Viridiplantae; Streptophyta; Magnoliopsida; Malvales; Malvaceae. The record is from RNAcentral.